AAUUUUUUUUAAAAAAUAUAUAUAUAACAUCAUGUUGGAUCAUUAAUUUUUAAUGGCUUCAAAGUUCUUUCAAAAAAAAUAUUGUGGCAUACAUAUCAAAAUAUGAAUUCAUGAAAUUUAUGAUAUAUCUUAGAGCAUACAUAAAAUGCAAAGCUUUGAAAGUUCUUUUAGAGUUCUUUUAAAGACUUUCUUUUAUUCCUUAGAAAAUAAGCACAAUUUGAUACAUAAAAAUAUGAAUUGGCACUAAAUUGAAGUUCUAAAGAGCAAGCCAAUUAGGACUCAUUAGUGAAUUCCAAAAUAGAUUUUCUGAGAGAUACUCAAGAAAAUUCAACAUAUUAUUCUCCCCCUUUUUCAUUAAGUUAGAGGCUCUUAAGAUCAACUGUUUGAAUUGCAAUUUGGUUCAUGAUUUAUGCAUAAGAUAUAUUAACCAAAUAACAAGCCUCAAGGUGUAUCAUAAAGAUUUUUAUAUUUAAAUUUCAGAUGAUACCUAUUGGAGGAUAUUAGGAUCACUUCUCAUUUAGUAUUCUUUCUCUCUUCUUUAGUUAUGGAUUUAUGCGAUUAAGUUCCAUAUGAUCUCUCAUUCUGAAAUUUUCUUUCU
RNAcentral lists this long non-coding RNA (598 nucleotides) under Phoenix dactylifera (date palm). Its description in RNAcentral is "long non-coding RNA (PDAC_LNC012470)". Lineage: Eukaryota; Viridiplantae; Streptophyta; Magnoliopsida; Arecales; Arecaceae. The record is from RNAcentral.